Molecule: ribosomal RNA, 701 nt
Filed under: Hypsophila dielsiana
Lineage: Eukaryota; Viridiplantae; Streptophyta; Magnoliopsida; Celastrales; Celastraceae
Description: eukaryotic LSU rRNA
Rfam family: 5.8S ribosomal RNA (bases 280-435)
Source: RNAcentral
UUUCCGUAGGUGAACCUGCGGAAGGAUCAUUGUCGAAAAAUGCUAGAACGACCCGUGAAUCGAUGGCAGCUGAAGUGGGGGGCUGGCCCUUCGGGCCUGUCUUCCGAAGUUCCCGGCGAGGGCUGUUGGGGAAUCCCAAAUCCUCUGCCGCGGCACAAAAAACAAAACCCCGGCGCGAAUUGCGCCAAGGAAUUGGAAGAAAAACGAUUAGAGCUUCUCCUCUUGUCCUGGAGACAGUGCAUUGGGGGGGUUGCUCCGUCGUCGUAGACAUAUCUGAACGACUCUCGGCAACGGAUAUCUCGGCUCUCGCAUCGAUGAAGAACGUAGCGAAAUGCGAUACUUGGUGUGAAUUGCAGAAUCCCGUGAACCAUCGAGUUUUUGAACGCAAGUUGCGCCCGAAGCCGCCAGGCCGAGGGCACGCUUGCCUGGGUGUCACGCAACGUCGCUAAUUGUCCCAUCGCCCUCUCUACGGAUCGGGUUCGAUGAGGACUCUUGCGGAUGCUGGCCUCCCGUAAGCCCUCGCUAGCGGUUGGCCAAAAAGAAACCCCCUGCUGGCAGCAGCCACGACAUACGGUGGUUGGCGGCACAUGCUCCUCGAACACCUUCGUGGCGGAGCUCGCCGGCGGGGUGCCGAAGGCCCCGACGCAAAGCGUCUUCUCAAAGCGACCCCCGGUCAGGCGGGAACACCCGCUGAGUUUAAG